Molecule: ribosomal RNA, 256 nt
Filed under: uncultured bacterium
Lineage: Bacteria
Description: partial 16S ribosomal RNA
Rfam family: Bacterial small subunit ribosomal RNA
Source: RNAcentral
GAUCAUGGCUCAAGAUGAACGCUAGCUACAGGCUUAACACACGCAAGUCGAGGGGCAUCAGGAAGAAAGCUUGCUUUCUUUGCUGGCGACCGGCGCACGGGUGAGUAACACGUAUCCAACCUGCCCUUUACUCGGGGAUAGCCUUUCGAAAGAAAGAUUAAUACCCGAUAGUAUAAUGAUUCCGCAUGGUUUCAUUAUUAAAGGAUUCCGGUAAAGGAUGGGGAUGCGUUCCAUUAGGUUGUUGGUGAGGUAACGG